GAUGAACGCUGGCGGUGGGCCUAACACAUGCAAGUCGAGCGAACGGACGAUAAGCUUGCUCUUUUGAUGUUAGCGGCUGACGGGCGAGUAACACGUGGAUAACCUACCUAUAUUACUGGGAUAACUUCGGGAAACCGCAUCUAAUACCGGAUAAUAUGUUGAACCGCAUGGUUCAAAAGUGAAAGACGGUCUUCCUGUCACUUAUAGAUGGAUCCGCGCUGCAUUAGCUAGUUGGUAAGGUAACGGCCUACCAAGGCAACGAUGCGUAGCCGACCUGAGAGGGUGAUCAGCCACACUGGAACUGAGACACGGUCCAGACUCCUACGGGAGGCAGCAGUAGGGAAUAUUCCGCAAUGGGCGCAAGCCUGACGGAGCAACACCGCGUGAGUGAUGAAGGUCUUCGGAUCGUAAAGCUCUGUUAUUAGGAAAGAACAGCUGUGUAAGUAAAUGUGCCCGUCUUGACGGUACCUAAUCAGAAAGCAACGGCUAACUACGUG
Molecule: ribosomal RNA, 497 nt
Filed under: uncultured bacterium
Lineage: Bacteria
Description: partial 16S ribosomal RNA
Rfam family: Bacterial small subunit ribosomal RNA
Source: RNAcentral